Molecule: long non-coding RNA, 370 nt
Filed under: Homo sapiens (human)
Lineage: Eukaryota; Metazoa; Chordata; Mammalia; Primates; Hominidae
Description: HSALNT0309246
Source: RNAcentral
GGAAGGUUCAGUUCUUCACCCUAUAUUGAACUUUCUUAUGAGGUCAAGAUGUGUAGAUGAAGGUUCUGGUCUGAGAUCUUAAAAAGGGAGAAGUCUAAUAUCACCCACACAUUCCUGUCUUCUUUCCUUCAACUGUGCCCUCAUACUGGCUCCUUGAUCUGAGUUAUAUCUAUCCUAUUCAAGUAGGAGCCUCUGAAACUCUCUCUCAAUCCCUGGACAAGAUCUAAACAUGUGCCACUCCAGAGGCUGUAGAAGUAGCUUGUAGAAAUAUGGACUAUGGAGCAAAAUGGGACUGGAAAGGUCAUCCAAUCUCACCACCUACUGGAUGUUCAGAUCUGUUCCACAGUAUCUCUGCAAUGGAUCAUUGACC